This 1269-nucleotide ribosomal RNA is filed under the name Helicosporidium sp. ex Cyrtobagous salviniae. RNAcentral's name for it is "partial 16S ribosomal RNA". It matches the Rfam family "Bacterial small subunit ribosomal RNA", at positions 39 to 1353 of the family's 1533-position model. The record is from RNAcentral. Lineage: Eukaryota; Viridiplantae; Chlorophyta; Trebouxiophyceae; Chlorellales; Chlorellaceae.
GCGGCAUGCUUAACACAUGCAAGUCGACGUAAAGAUAUUUACUUCUUUAUGUGGCGAACGGGUGCGUAACGCGUAAGAACUUACUUUUUGGCUUGGUAUAGUUUUGAGAAAUCUUAAGUAAACCCAAAUAAUGCCUACAAAAGGCGAAAGAACAUUCACCAAAAAAAAGGCUUGCGUCUGAUUAGCUAGUUGGUUUGAUAAUAGCAAACCAAGGCUUCGAUCAGUAGCUGAUCUGGGAGGAUGGUCAGCCACAUUGGGACUGAGACACGGCCCAAACUUCUACGGAAGGCAGCAGUGAGGAAUUUUCCGCAAUGAGCGAAAGCUUGACGGAGCAAUACCACGUGACUGAAGACAGCCUUUAUGGUUGUAAAAGUUUUAUUUUAGAAAAGAAUAUUGACUGUAUCUAAAAAAAAAGUAUCGGCUAACUCUGUGCCAGCAGCCGCGGUAAUACAGAGGAUGCUAGCGUUAUUCGGAAUGAAUGGGCGUAAAGAGUCUGUAGGUAGCUUAAAAAGUCUUUUGAGAAAUAUUUAGGCUUAACCUAAAAAGUUUAAGAGAAACUAUUAAGCUUGAGAUUAGUAGAGGUUUGGGGAAUUUUCGGUGGAGCGGUGAAAUGCGUAGAUAUCGAAAGGAACACCGGAGGCGAAAGCGUUAAACUGGGCUAAUUCUGACACUGAGAGACGAAAGCGAGGGGAGCAAAUAGGAUUAGAGACCCUAGUAGUCCUCGCCGUAAACUAUGGGGACUAGAUGUGUAUAUAUAAAUCUUGUAUAUACAUAACGAAGCUAACGCAUUAAGUCCCCCGCCUGGGGAGUACGCCGCAUUGGUGAAACUUAAAGGAAUUGACGGGAACUUACACAAUUGGUGGAGCAUGUGGUUUAAUUCGAUGCUACACGAAGAACCUUACCGGGAUUUGACAUAAUAUUUUAUUUUUUUUGUAAUUGAAAAAAUAAAUUUAUUUAAAAAUAAAUUUAAAAUAUUACAGAUGGUGCAUGGUUGUCAAGUUCGUGUUUUGAGAUGUUAGGUUAAUUCCUGUAACGAACGAAAUCCCUUUUUUCUAUUAUAUAAAAUAUUUUUAAUUGAAAUAACUGCCAAUGUAAAUUGGAGGAAGGCUGGGAUGCCGUCAAAUCAGUAUGCCUUUUAUAUCCCGGGCUACACACGUGCUACAAUGGUCGAUUCAAUAGAUAUAAAAAAUUUUAACCUCGAUCAUAGUUCGGAUUAAAGGCUGAAACUCGUCUUUAUGAAGUAGGAAUCGAUAGUAAUCGCCAGUCAGC